AGCAGCCGCGGUAAUUCCAGCUCCAAUAGCGUAUAUUAAAGUUGUUGCAGUUAAAAAGCUCGUAGUUGAAUUUCGGGAUCAAUUAGUCGGUCGUGCCUCUGGUACGUACUGGUUUUAUUGGUUCCUCCCUUCUGACGAAACAUGAUGUCAUUAAUUUGGUGUCGUGGAGAAUCAGGACUGUUACCUUGAAAAAUUAGAGUGUUUAUAGCAGGCUAACGCUUGAAUACAUUAGCAUGGAAUAAUGAAAUAGGACGUUCGACCCUAUUUUGUUGGUUUCUAGGAUCGACGUAAUGAUUAAUAGGGAUAGUUGGGGGCAUUAGUAUUCAAUUGUCAGAGGUGAAAUUCUUGGAUUUUAUUGAAGACUAACUACUGCGAAAGCAUUUGCCAAGGAUGUUUUCAUUAAUCAAGAACGAAAGUUAGGGGAGUCGAAGACGAUCAGAUACCGUCGUAGUCUUAACCCAUAACGCUAAUGCCGACUAGGGAUCAGAUGAUUAGUUAAUUUUUAAUGUACUUCAAGUUC
Molecule: unclassified non-coding RNA, 520 nt
Filed under: uncultured Glomus
Lineage: Eukaryota; Fungi; Glomeromycota; Glomeromycetes; Glomerales; Glomeraceae
Description: bacterial SSU rRNA
Rfam family: Eukaryotic small subunit ribosomal RNA
Source: RNAcentral